GUUUCUUCAUCAAUAAUCUCAAGCACGUCCCGCCUCUUCCCUGUACGUUCCUGCAACCUAGGGUUUCCAGGUCCUCGCCUCCUGGCCAACCCAUUGAGCCGUGCUCGCUGCCUUUCCUCCGUUUGCCACGCCAUAUGCCUGACAGCGAUACCCGUGCCAACAAUUAAAUCUUGGCCAAUUUUAACCAAGGUCCCGUGCCUACAAUUAAAUCUUGGACGAUUUUAUCCGCUUCCUCUCCGCCAUGGAUGAAGCAGUUAGGGCCUUAGGGGGGAUCGCUGUGGUGUGCCCAAAGUCAGCAACGCAACUCCGACAAGUCAAUCUUACCUCAGACUGUCUACCCAUUGAGCCGUGCUCGCUGCCUUUCCUCCGUUUGCCACGCCAUAUGCCUGACAGCGAUACCCGUGCCAACAAUUAAAUCUUGGCCAAUUUUAACCAAGGUCCCGUGCCUACAAUUAAAUCUUGGACGAUUUUAUCCGCUUCCUCUCCACCAUGGAUGAAGCAAUUAGGGCCUUAGGGGGGAUCGCUGUGGUGUGCCCAAAGUCAGCAACGCAACUCCGACAAAUCAAUCUUACCUCAGGAACUCACGAGGAAGCGGGAGAGGGGACACCAGAGAUAGGUGUAGGUACGUACUAUAGUUGCCUAAUUGAAUCUGUGCUGCACACCGAAAUAUGCACUUCCCUCAUAUUUGGUUUGAUACAAAAUUGGAAGCAAUCACUGAAUAUAAUGUCCCACCAAACAAUAACUACGCAAUUGUCCCGUACUAGCUGUUUUUCAAACCCACACAGCAUGCCAUAUAGUUUAUUUUGGGAUAGGUUAUAUUUUUUAAUUAUUUUAUAUCUAGAUUUUCCUCUCUUGACGCUCACACGUGAAGUCUCUUCAAAUCUCCAGAUGGCCCAGCCUUACCAGUUCAGCAUGGAGGCAGUACCCGACACCACCGCCUCUCCUUGCACUUCCAGUUCCACCCAGCAUUUUGAUGUCCCAGUCUCACCCUCUUCUGCUUUAUUCUUUAGGAAUAUAUGUCCGUCUUCUUAGUGCUGAUGAUGUCCACAUACUAGAUCACCCCCACCUCGAACGUUACUUCUGAUAAAGAUGGACAUGCCGAUCUUUUGCAAAAGAAAAUCAAUUGCUAUAUGUCUGACCAUGUCAUGAGUCUGGACAAAGGCAUAAAAGAAGAGGAUAUCACGAUCGACUGCACCGCAGACAACCUCCUCAUAUAUGCCGCCGCAUGUUGGCCACAUCCGACGUCUUCAAAUGUGAUUCACCGCUUAUAUCUGAUGUCUAACAAUGCGAAGUAAUGGCACCAUGCAGUUUCGUGGACAUGUGUGCUAUUGCUAGACUGGAUUGAAGGGUUUGACAAUUUUUCUCCAAUCUGCAUGUAUAUAUGGUUUCUUAUAAAAUGCAGUUCUAACCUAUACUUGGUGCGAAUAUUUCCCUUAAAUCUGCUACUUUUGCAUGAUGCAUGCAUGAGUGGUGAACUAUUUUUAUUUUCUUAGAGCAUUGGUUCGU
Molecule: long non-coding RNA, 1506 nt
Organism: Triticum aestivum (bread wheat)
Lineage: Eukaryota; Viridiplantae; Streptophyta; Magnoliopsida; Poales; Poaceae
Exons: 5
Source: RefSeq, a predicted model, not a curated record